UUUUGCAGAGAUGAAGGUUUAGCUGAUUAUCGCUUCAGACAUGAACGUAAUGACUAUGAUAGUUGACUAGAUGGUGCUGCCUUUGCUAGUAAUAGGAGUAGGAUUCUAUUAAAUGAUGACUCCCCUUCAUUUAUUUAUCCACCUUCACGUCGCUGCUGUCAUGCUGUAGGGCAUUCAAAUGAAUAUAAGCCCAAGCUUUCGCACUGGUGAAGAUGACUGCGAGUAUGUCGG
RNAcentral lists this unclassified non-coding RNA (231 nucleotides) under Hevea brasiliensis (rubber tree). Lineage: Eukaryota; Viridiplantae; Streptophyta; Magnoliopsida; Malpighiales; Euphorbiaceae. The record is from RNAcentral.